GGGGACGCUGUCGCUGAAGCAGUGAUGGAUUUUAAAGACACUUACCGGGCGUCCCAGAGGGCAGGUUUUGCGCCAUGGCAUUUAGCAUCCUGACUAAUAUCUUGGUACCCCUGGCCUCCUAGGUGGCUGCUUAUCUCCAUGCGAGGUAAUAGCUUUAUUCAAAGGGAGAGGAGCACAGGCCCAGUGAAAUGUCACUUGUUUUCCAGGUGGUUGUGACUGUUUUGUAUCUUGCAGCAAACAGAGUUGAAAACCAUAUGUGAAAUAAUGAAUAAAGCCGAAGCUUAUGCUGUGAGGUCUCUGGCAUGUCUUGAAGCAAUUAAAAUAUCAGUUCCAAACUUCCGUGCAUGUAGAGUCACCGUCCUUUCUUCUUUUACCUUUGUGGAAGAAGACAGUGGCUGUGAUGUGGUUGGGAACCAGAACAAAUAUUUAUCUCUAGCCGGAAACAAAGAAUGCAGCAGCGCAGCUGACAGCAGCCCGAGCAGAACACUCCGGUGGUGGGAGCACUAGACGUGCACAGACAGACAGUCAUGGACCCCUCCCCUUGCUGCUCUGGUGCAGGACGGGGCUAUUCCGCAUGUGACUGAGAACAUGCCUAUUGCAUUGGCCACCUAAAGUUUUAACGUGAAACACCCAGGUAGGAGGGAAAGGCUCCUGCAGCAGCGCCUCUCAUGGGAUGUCACGUGGGUCUGAGGAUCAGCUGGCUUGCCAUGACACUUAAACCUACCCACACUGCAAGUGCGCUGCAGGACGGGGAAGCCCUGGGAUGCCUAGCUUAGUUGGGUACUGUGCAGUCCUGUAGCUUCACUUCCUGUCCUAAACACUGGGGUAGUGUUGCUAUGCGCUGUUAAACAGUUGCUGCGUUCCUCCCCAGAAGUGGCUGCAUCUUAGCAGAUGGCUGCCAUAUGAACCCUGUGCAUAGCUGGUAUGUCAGUUCCCAAAAUGGAAAUGCUCCCUGGAUAUUAAUUCCUUUCCCUUCACUCACCCUGUAAUUGUUCAGAAAGUGAAAAUAGAGUCAUGUUAAUACUAUUUUGGAGAAAAAUCUUCUAUUUAGCUUUUUCUAAGCAGCAUCGCCCUCUGCCAACCGGGGGACUGCCAGCCCUGCCCAGAUACCAUAGUGGGUGGCACUUCAUAACGACACAGACAGAGAGAACCCAUUCCAGACCAGUGCCCUGGUGUUUGGAGGUGAGGUUUGCAGGGGGACUGCCGGGUAGUGCUGUAAUUGGCUGAUGAAGCAUGGUCUUGGUGUAAUGUCUAUUAUUAAUAACAUGACUUUGAUAAUAAAAAGAUUAAAAUUAAGUUUAUGGUUUGCUGA
Molecule: long non-coding RNA, 1312 nt
Filed under: Chrysemys picta bellii (western painted turtle)
Lineage: Eukaryota; Metazoa; Chordata; Testudines; Emydidae
Description: lncRNA (ENSCPBG00000021604.1)
Source: RNAcentral